CCCUAGAACGGCGCCGGAUGACGUCAUUUUGUAGUGCCAAACCCCGGAAACGAGUUAGCAUUUUAGCGCUCGAGCUUCGCUGCGCGAGGGGGAAAUCAUGAUACUAACAUGAUGCUAAGUGGCACUAUAGAGGUUGUUGGGGACAUUAAAAGUCAUCCCGCCGAACAGGAAAAAACUUUGCAGAUAAACUCGGGGCUCUACACUGCGACCAUUUCACUCGCAUUUGCGACUGAAAAGUGACUGUGAAUAAAUAUUUAUUCGCACCAGUGCGAGUGACCUGUUCGGAGUUGUAUAUACAAUCGGAAUAAAAACUACAGGAAGUGCAAAAUGCAUCUACACCGCGCAACAGUUACUUUCACACUGCUUUUCAUCUCCUCAGUCAACCGAAGAAGUGUGUAAAUACUGCAGAGAAGCCAUUAUGAUGAAAAGUAACACUGAACAUCAUGUGUCUCUCAACUUGCCGAUAUCACCAACCGCCAUCUUUUAUUGAUCCCGCAAAAUGACCUGAACCUGCGACUGUGACCUGCUCGUGUAAACACAGCGGCGUCGGGCGGAGUAAAUGAAUAAUAAUGCUAACGCUACAAGACAGCUAUAAAGAGGGCAGGACCGGGUCAGACCUCCAGUCAGACGUGGAAGUGUCUGGGAAAAGACCACCAAGGUGUAAAACAUAUGGAUAUUUAUUCAGCACAUCACUAUUACUAUUCCUUGAUGCUUUGAGGCUGUAUUUAAAAUGGAGGAGUGUCCGGACCCCCUGGAGAUAAGGAGCAUUGAUUGUUUGACUCAGAGGAUGUGUGACACACCACCCAAACACAUUCUUCCACCUGCCCCUACUGUUAACUUCCCCACAGUCACCCCAAACACCAUUUUCAUCCCUGUUCCCACCACCACUUUACCACCAGCAGCAGCACAUGGCUCAUUCAUAGAGAUGCUGCAGAACUGGCAGCCGAUGGACGAUAUGCCAUGAAGUCCAGGUGCAGCCUUUGGAUAUUGAUGAAGAAUUACUGCCCUUGCAAGACCUUCCUCAACUGUGUAGACUGGAGCAAAUGAUGCAAUAGAGCCCAGAUUACAAGCAAAAACUGGUGAGAAUUUUUUUUUUCUUUCUUUAACAAUUGCUUGCACAAUUACACAUAUACUGAGAGUGUUACUUUUUUUCUCAAAAUGAGACACUCAUACUCAAAGCACAACAUUCAACACCACUUUGAUAUGAGGGAACAGUUAUGACCUAAUCUUUAUCAGGAACCAAGCAACCAUAAAGUCAGAUUUUUAAUUUCAUUGCAUUAUUUACAACUUGAUAUUAUGGAGUCGAGUGUAAUGUAAAAUCAAAUGACAGCUUUAACUUUAAUUGCGGAAAGACCAUGGUAAAACUAGGAUAAGCCAUGGCUAGGUGUGCAUUAAACGAUUUGAACGAGUGGUUCUUUGCCUCCACAUCAUGCAUUAAAAUCGUUUAAUGCACACCUAGCCGUGGAUUACUCCUUACAUAUCAUCUGAGAGAGACAGAUAACUCUGUAUGUAAACAGAUAUACUUACCAAUUACGACCUCUGCGAGUUGGAGAGUGACCAGUGAAGUCUUUACAUUGACUCCCCUCCAAUGGAGGUUCUUUGCCAAUGAGUUGGCAAUCACCCUCUUCAAUAUGUGCCAGGUGCAGUCGCGCACAUGUGCCCCGUCAAUAAGCGCCAACCAGUUUACCUGAAACCGAUUUUUAAAAAACAAUAAUAUAAUAUAAAAAUUAAUAAGCAUGUAUUUCCUCAUCACCUAUGUCAGUGCUUCUCACUACGCCUGCAGUUACCCUGCCCUGUGUUUUCCAUGUUUUCCUCCUCUACCAAAGAUAAGGUUCCUUUAUACAAUGUCUUGGCCUCCCCUAGAUAGUUCUAAACACUAGUUUUAAUUUUCACCUUUGUACCCCUUAAAAUGGAUUAGUAGUUAAAAACUUUUUAUUCUUGUCUUACCUUGAGAUGAGCCUCCUAGGGAAGAGUCAACAUCUGUGAACGGAAAAAUAAAAUACUAUAACAAGCAGUAGUUGUGCUUGGUCUACAUGAAAUGAAUCAAACCUCAAUGGACAUGCUGGUAGACUGAGGUUGAUGCUCAUACCAUCUGGGGUGCCUAGAGGUUCCUCAACAGGUCGCCUAGCUCUGUUCAUUCCUGUGGUAUGAAUAGUAUAGCUCAAUAUAAAGUUUCUGGUGUCACAUGUUCAUACACAAACUGUUCUACACCUUUAAGGUGAAACUGUAAAUCUCUAGCAAGAUAUCCUCCACAUCCCAAACAAAAACAGUUAAAACUGAAAGGUCUAAUUUUGUUGGGUAGUGAUUUGGUUGAUGCUUUACUUUGUGAAAUUUGUUGUCAAGGUACAGUAUAAGUCAGCUUAUUUUUGUGGUAUGUCUAUGACAAGUGCAAUAAGCAGAUGAACCUCAGCCUAUUAACAGUCAAGAUACUUUAAAUUUACUUGGCACAUAUU
Long non-coding RNA from Ictalurus punctatus (channel catfish), 2453 nucleotides. The record is from Ensembl. NCBI's taxonomy places the organism in Eukaryota, Metazoa, Chordata, Actinopteri, Siluriformes, Ictaluridae.